UACGUAGGGGGCAAGCGUUGUCCGGAAUCAUUGGGCGUAAAGAGCGCGUAGGCGGCCCUGUAAGUCCGCUGUGAAAGUCAAGGGCUCAACCCUUGAAUGCCGGUGGAUACUGCAGGGCUAGAGUCCGGAAGAGGCGAGUGGAAUUCCUGGUGUAGCGGUGAAAUGCGUAGAUAUCAGGAGGAACACCCGUGGCGAAGGCGGCUCUCUGGAUCGGCCCUGACGCUGAGGCGCGAAAGCGUGGGGAGCGAACGGG
This 253-nucleotide ribosomal RNA is filed under the name uncultured bacterium. Its description in RNAcentral is "partial 16S ribosomal RNA". It matches the Rfam family "Bacterial small subunit ribosomal RNA", at positions 524 to 776 of the family's 1533-position model. The record is from RNAcentral.